This 253-nucleotide ribosomal RNA is filed under the name uncultured bacterium. RNAcentral describes it as "partial 16S ribosomal RNA". It matches the Rfam family "Bacterial small subunit ribosomal RNA", at positions 524 to 776 of the family's 1533-position model. The record is from RNAcentral.
UACAGAGGGUGCGAGCGUUAAUCGGAAUUACUGGGCGUAAAGGGCGCGUAGGCGGUUAUAUAAGUUAGGUGUGAAAUCCCUGGGCUUAACCUAGGAACUGCAGCUAAUACUGUGUAACUGGAGUGUAGUAGAGGGUAGUGGAAUUUCCGGUGUAGCGGUGAAAUGCGUAGAUAUCGGAAGGAACACCUGUGGCGAAAGCGGCGCACUGGACCACAACUGACGCUGAGGCGCGAAAGCUAGGGGAGCAAACAGG